GAUGAACGCUAGCUACAGGCUUAACACAUGCAAGUCGAGGGGAAACGACAUCGAAAGCUUGCUUUUGAUGGGCGUCGACCGGCGCACGGGUGAGUAACGCGUAUCCAACCUGCCCACCACUUGGGGAUAACCUUGCGAAAGUAAGACUAAUACCCAAUGAUAUCCCACGAAGGCAUCGGAAUGGGAUUAAAGAUUUAUCGGUGAUGGAUGGGGAUGCGUCUGAUUAGCUUGUUGGCGGGGUAACGGCCCACCAAGGCGACGAUCAGUAGGGGUUCUGAGAGGAAGGUCCCCCACAUUGGAACUGAGACACGGUCCAAACUCCUACGGGAGGCAGCAGUGAGGAAUAUUGGUCAAUGGGCGAGAGCCUGAACCAGCCAAGUAGCGUGCAGGACGACGGCCCUAUGGGUUGUAAACUGCUUUUAUAAGGGAAUAAAGUGAGUCUCGUGAGACUUUUUGCAUGUACCUUAUGAAUAAGGACCGGCUAAUUCCGUG
This 492-nucleotide ribosomal RNA is filed under the name uncultured bacterium. Its description in RNAcentral is "bacterial SSU rRNA". It matches the Rfam family "Bacterial small subunit ribosomal RNA", at positions 28 to 507 of the family's 1533-position model. The record is from RNAcentral.